GCUGGGCAAGGUGGCACAUGCCUGUAAUCCCAGCCGCUAAGGAGGCUGAGGCAGGAGGAUCACAAGUUCAAAGCCAGCCUCAGCAACACCAAGGUGCUGAACAACUCAGUGAGACCCUGUCUCUA
Molecule: small RNA, 125 nt
Filed under: Marmota monax (woodchuck)
Lineage: Eukaryota; Metazoa; Chordata; Mammalia; Rodentia; Sciuridae
Source: RNAcentral